AUGAUUCCAUAUUUCACAAUUGAACUGCAUUUGAGGUUUUUGUUAAGGUCACGGACCCCAGUUAGAAACUGCUGUUCUGAGGCCCCUCAGCCGCCUGGAGACAAAGCUGGAAGCAGAGGCAGUGUGUGUUUUCCUGCUGCCGGUGGACAGGCGCGCAGGAUGCAUUUCCCUCAUCGAACCAGGGAGCGGAGACCCCCGAGCAAGAGAGGGAAGUCCUCGGACCAUCAGCGAGGCAGGUUGCAGAACGUCCUGGGCCGGACCGCAGCUGGGGGCUUUGAGAGUCCUGGGCAAGGAAGCGACGACCCUGAACCGUCUGAAGCGCCAGGCACGGGGCUCCUGGAGCAGUGUCUCUCUCAAGGUCCGGAAACCUUCUUUGAGUCGAACUCGGAAGCCCUCCCAUUUAAAAAAAAAACAACAAAACAAAACCAAGAAGAGAAAAAGGGCCCGUAGAGGAUGCUAGUUGGAAAAAACCCUUAUUAAAUUCACUCCCAUUGUUUCCUUGGAAUGUGGUUCUCUAACACUGAUGUUCUUGUCUUUUCUGCUGACUUAGGACUUGCUGGAUCCUUGACAGCCUCUCCUGAUAUUCUUGCCUUAUCAGAUGUGGACAUCUCCGACACAGGCAAGAUAAAUUCCCAUCCUCAGCCUAGAGAAGCAGUUGGCCUGCUCACUGCAUCUCUGAAAAUGGAUGAGUGGCUAGGCCAGGUCCCUCUGGAAGGGCAACUUUGUGUCCAUUAAAAUACAAAUGCGGAACUCCUGUAAUUUUGUGUGUGUGUAUGUGUGCAAAUACCAAGCUGUAAUCUUAGUUGACCCACCCAGUUGCCUAGGGUCUGGUGCACAGUUCCCCUUUCCUGUUUAUUUUAAAUCGUUACCUAAACAAGAAGAGGAGGAGGAGGGAGUGCAAAGGGAAGUGUCCUAACACUGUUGGGAAGGGUGGAUUGCUAUUUUAUUGUUGCAAAAAUGAAGUUCUCUCCACUUGGAAACAAACACACCAGGCACCAAUUCUCUUUCAGUAACUACUGUUUCAUUCUCUCCAUAAAUGUGUCUUCAAAGGUUAGCUUCCACAUCUGUAAUUUUUUUUUUAAAGGUAAAAAUAUAUUUGGUGGUAAUCCUAUAUCUAAAAACCGGUAGAUAAUUAAAAAAAAAAAAAAAACAAAACAAACAAACUAGGUGAUUUGCAGGGGGAAAAAAUCCCUAGUUCUCAGACAGACUUAUAAGGGCAUCACAUUCCAAAAUACAGAGUUGUUACAGCUUCACAUUUGACCGGUGACUCACUUACUAUUUUAAAAACAAAUAAAAAAGUAGCCUAAAGUAAAGAACA
RNAcentral lists this long non-coding RNA (1318 nucleotides) under Bos indicus x Bos taurus (hybrid cattle). RNAcentral describes it as "lncRNA (ENSBIXG00005011571.1)". Lineage: Eukaryota; Metazoa; Chordata; Mammalia; Artiodactyla; Bovidae. The record is from RNAcentral.